This 393-nucleotide ribosomal RNA is filed under the name uncultured bacterium. RNAcentral describes it as "partial 16S ribosomal RNA". It matches the Rfam family "Bacterial small subunit ribosomal RNA", at positions 523 to 918 of the family's 1533-position model. The record is from RNAcentral.
AUACGGAGGAUCCGAGCGUUAUCCGGAUUUAUUGGGUUUAAAGGGAGCGUAGGUGGAUUGUUAAGUCAGUUGUGAAAGUUUGCGGCUCAACCGUAAAAUUGCAGUUGAAACUGGCAGUCUUGAGUCCAGUAGAGGUGGGCGGAAUUCGUGGUGUAGCGGUGAAAUGCUUAGAUAUCACGAAGAACUCCGAUUGCGAAGGCAGCUCACUAGACUGUUACUGACACUGAUGCUCGAAAGUGUGGGUAUCAAACAGGAUUAGAUACCCUGGUAGUCCACACAGUAAACGAUGAAUACUCACUGUUUGCGAUAUACAGUAAGCGGCCAAGCGAAAGCAUUAAGUAUUCCACCUGGGGAGUACGCCGGCAACGGUGAAACUUAAAUGAAUUGACGGGG